RNAcentral lists this transfer RNA (76 nucleotides) under uncultured Acidimicrobiales bacterium. RNAcentral describes it as "tRNA-Pro". It matches the Rfam family "tRNA". Rfam says of the family: Transfer RNA (tRNA) molecules are approximately 80 nucleotides in length. Their secondary structure includes four short double-helical elements and three loops (D, anti-codon, and T loops). Lineage: Bacteria; Bacillati; Actinomycetota; Acidimicrobiia; Acidimicrobiales. The record is from RNAcentral. RNAcentral also lists the same sequence under 2 other names.
CGGGCUGUGGCGCAGCUUGGUUAGCGCGCUUGACUGGGGGUCAAGAGGUCGGGGGUUCGAGUCCCCCCAGCCCGAC